Long non-coding RNA from Centruroides sculpturatus (bark scorpion), 582 nucleotides. RefSeq lists it as uncharacterized. NCBI's taxonomy places the organism in Eukaryota, Metazoa, Arthropoda, Arachnida, Scorpiones, Buthidae. The record is from RefSeq and is a predicted model, not a curated record. The transcript is spliced from 4 exons.
UAUAGGAGAGACGAUAAGGCUGCACCAAAUGGUCAGCAAGAUAAAGAUUAUACUAAAAAUAUUGACGAUAACUUUCUUGGAACAAAGUGUCCUUCCUUUAACAAAGAGGAUUCGGAGAUCCAAGGAAAGAAACCUAAGGAAAAAGCAAAAUUUACACAAUUCUGCACAAAUGCAUUCUGUAAAUUGUUCUGUUGUGUGUCAGACGAGAUUUCUGGUUCUCAGGUAAGACGUCGUUCUUUCUGUCGUCUUCCAAUUAACAAAUGACCACCAAUCGCUUACUGCGAUUGGUGGUCAUUUGCCACUGUAUUAUACGAAAUGUUAAUCGGAAGCACCCCAUUAGACAUUUACCUUGAAAAAAUGAAGGUCGACAUCAAUUCAUUCUCUAUUAUCGACAUGAUAAACAUUGCUCAAAAUAUGGAGUUGGUGUAUCCGAAUCGUACGCUACUGUCGAUGGAUGCAACACUCAUAAUCGAGGAUUUGUUACAGAAAGACCCAAAUAAACGUCUAUCAGAAACGGACAUCAGUAAACACAUGUUUUUUGAUGGAGUCCUAUGGCCAGAAUUAAUCCAGACUUGACCUAUC